AUUGAACGCUGGCGGCAGGCCUAACACAUGCAAGUCGAGCGGAGCUGCGGACGGGUGAGUAAUGCCUAGGCAUCUGCCUGGUAGUGGGGGAUAACGUCCGGAAACGGGCGCUAAUACCGCAUACUAUCAGAUGAGCCUAGGUCGGAUUAGCUAGGUGGUGGGGUAAAGGCCCACCAAGGCGACGAUCCGUAACUGGUCUGAGAGGAUGAUCAGUCACCCUGGAACUGAAACACGGACCAGACUACUACGGUAGGCAGCAGUGGGGAAUAUUGGACUAUGGGCGAAAGGCUGAUCCAGCCAUGCCGCGUGGGUGAAGAAGGUCUUCGGAUUGUAAAGCACUUUAAGUUGGGAGGAGUUAUCAACAGAAUAAGCACCGGCUAACCUCGUGCCAGCAGCCGCGGUAAUUC
This 407-nucleotide ribosomal RNA is filed under the name uncultured bacterium. Its description in RNAcentral is "partial 16S ribosomal RNA". It matches the Rfam family "Bacterial small subunit ribosomal RNA", at positions 30 to 526 of the family's 1533-position model. The record is from RNAcentral.